This 438-nucleotide ribosomal RNA is filed under the name Aggregatibacter actinomycetemcomitans. RNAcentral describes it as "bacterial SSU rRNA". It matches the Rfam family "Bacterial small subunit ribosomal RNA", at positions 66 to 493 of the family's 1533-position model. Lineage: Bacteria; Pseudomonadati; Pseudomonadota; Gammaproteobacteria; Pasteurellales; Pasteurellaceae. The record is from RNAcentral.
ACGGUAGCAGGUAAGUACUUGUACUUAUGCUGACGAGUGGCGGACGGGUGAGUAAUGCUUGGGAAUCUGUCUUAUGGAGGGGGAUAACGACGGGAAACUGUCGCUAAUACCGCGUAGAAUCGGGAGAUGAAAGUGUGGGACCUUCGGGCCACAUGCCAUAGGAUGAGCCCAAGUGUGAUUAGGUAGUUGGUGGGGUAAAGGCCUACCAAGCCGACGAUCGCUAGCUGGUCUGAGAGGAUGGCCAGCCACACCGGGACUGAGACACGGCCCGGACUCCUACGGGAGGCAGCAGUGGGGAAUAUUGCGCAAUGGGGGCAACCCUGACGCAGCCAUGCCGCGUGAAUGAAGAAGGCCUUCGGGUUGUAAAGUUCUUUCGGUGAUGAGGAAGGUUGGUGUGUUAAUAGCAUGCCAAAUUGACGUUAAAUACAGAAGAAGCAC